AACGAACGCUGGCGGCAUGCCUAACACAUGCAAGUCGAACGAGACCUUCGGGUCUAGUUGCGCACGGGUGCGUAACGCGUGGGAACCUGCCCUUAGGUUCGGAAUAACUCCCCGUAAGGGGUGCUAAUACCGGAUAAUGUCUUCGGACCAAAGAUUGAUCGCCUUUGGAUGGGCCCGCGUUGGAUUAGCUAGUUGGUAGGGUAAAAGCCUACCAAGGCGACGAUCCAUAGCUGGUCUGAGAGGAUGAUCAGCCACACUGGGACUGAGAAACGGCCCAGACUCUUACGGGAGGCAGCAGUGGGGAAUAUUGGAAUAUGGGCGAAAUCCUGAACCAGCUAUGCCGGGUGAGUGAUGAAGGCCGGAGGGAAGUAAAGCUCGUUUACCCGCGGUGAUAAUGACAGUACCGGGAGAAUAAGCUCCGGCUAACUCCGUG
RNAcentral lists this ribosomal RNA (433 nucleotides) under uncultured bacterium. RNAcentral describes it as "partial 16S ribosomal RNA". It matches the Rfam family "Bacterial small subunit ribosomal RNA", at positions 29 to 507 of the family's 1533-position model. The record is from RNAcentral.